AAUUAUGUACAUGGAAAUUAUAUAGACAUUGUUAUAUGAAAUAACUUUUUGCAUGACAGAAGACAUGAUUUGAAACCAAAAAACAAAGCCAGACCAAAUAUCACAAAGUGUCUGAAACAGUAUGCUAACAGCCCCACAAAUCUAUUGCCCUGCACAGAGGUGAUGGCAGUACACAUAAUUCCCUUCACUUUAUGAAUAUAACAACUCUGUAGAGGACUCAUUUUACAUCAAAAGAAAGAAAGAAGGGUUUAUUCUAAAGCAUGUGAAAAUGUGGAUGAUUGUGCUAAUUGGUUAAUAGGCUGUCAAUUGAAGGGUCAGAAGUUCUAAUCCUCUCACCAGCAUAAUUUUUAUAUACAGAAUAAAAGCUGAAUACUGUUAUAGCCAAAAAAAUUACCUUUUAAACUGGCUUUGAAAAGCAUUAAUAUAGACAGUAAAAAAAAUAUGUUGAAACUGUAAGGAAUGUGAAAACUGAAUUAUAUUGGGUAUAUAUACUCAGUAAUUUGGGUCAAACUAAACACUUCUACAGAAUGAUUAAUUUAAGUCAGGCUGCUGAAAUGCAAUUUCCUUUUCAUUUAUUUAUUUUUGUCCUUGUAUUUCUUUUUAUUAAUUUUUCUUUGUUUUUUUUUUGUUUUGUUUUUACCCUCUCAUAAAUCUAAGAUAUUGUAUGACUACUUAGGGGGGAUUAAAAAUAACACAUUCAAUGCUUCACCUGAAAAACAUAAAUGUUUGAUUAAAAUAAAAAUGGAAAAUAUGCUCCCCAUAGCUGAUAGUAGUGGUAAACUGAUAUUCAAUGAUUAAUGGUUAGCUAGAAAGAUAUUUUGAAUAAUAAAAAAAAUAAAUAAAUAAAUGCUCUUCUAUAUUUCUUCUUUCAGGGAAAUAGAUUAACAAAACUUCAGAAAAUAAUGACAAACAUGACCUUUGAGUCUCCACAGCUGUUUUAAUUGUCCUAAUAAAAAAAAAUAUUUAGUCAACAACACUGAUCACUAAACACCAAUUAACUAUUUUUUUUUUGUUGGUUUCCAGCUUAGUACAGUUGAGAGAAAGAGAAAGAGGAGGAGACAGAUGUGAGUAGUAAGAGGGAGGUGUAAGUGGGAAAGAGACAGGGAGAGUGAAAGAGAUGACUUGCAGAAAGUAGGAGGGGGAGAAAGUAUUCCUGCAUGUAUGAGUGGCACUUAUUAAGAGCAUUCCUAUAUAAAAGCCAGGAAGUCUACAAACUGUUAACAAUAUGCUAUCAGUGUUUAGCAGCCCCUCCUUUCUCCUUGCUGGAGUUCUCUAUUUAAUUUUAGAAUUCUUAAUUUAGUGAGUGAAUCAGAAAUAUCUGACUUUAAGCCAUUUUCAUAACAUAAUAACACAAACAACAUUUUGCU
Octopus bimaculoides (California two-spot octopus) is the source of this 1367-nucleotide long non-coding RNA. The record is from RefSeq and is a predicted model, not a curated record. Lineage: Eukaryota; Metazoa; Mollusca; Cephalopoda; Octopoda; Octopodidae.